This is a long non-coding RNA of Monomorium pharaonis (pharaoh ant), 669 nucleotides long. RefSeq lists it as uncharacterized. The transcript is spliced from 2 exons. The record is from RefSeq and is a predicted model, not a curated record. Lineage: Eukaryota; Metazoa; Arthropoda; Insecta; Hymenoptera; Formicidae.
ACCGGUUUCCAAGCCAGUCCUAAUGCUGCCAAGAGUAUCGGAGCCGAUUACGUAGUCCUUGGCAGAUUGUGGAUAUGUUUUCAACAAAGUUUCCACAAGUUUACGAUUGGUGGUUUCCUCCUCGCAACCGCUUAAAAUUAUUCUGUAUAUGUAGACUCCGUAACCUGUUACAUAAUCAAUAAUGGUUUAUUCAAUAACUCGAUUAUUUUCUUAACAAACGAAGAUACACAUCGACAUAGCCACUCAGCGAGAGAUAUACAUGACUCGGCUUAAUGAACCCUGAUUGCUGUUAUCAAUGCGAGAAAUGUCUCUCUUUUUUCUUUUUCACAACUACAAAACUGAUUCAAUAUCCGGAAUAAACAAAUUAUUAAAUGUUAUAACAUAUAAAACUAAAAGAUAAAUUAAAAUAUCUAUGUCUCGAGAAAGAGAGAAAAAAUGACAUAUGUGAUCGUUCAUUUUUAUUCAAAAUCAUUAAAUUAAAGCCACUUUAGAUUCAGAAAUAUUAUCGCGCGAUGUAGAGAGAUAUACAAUGUACUUCAUGUUUUUUUUUUAAUUUUGAUUCAUAUACAGUUGAUUAAUUUCGCUUCUUUUUUACAAUUUGUAGACUGUCAACUAUAACGUAUCAUGAAACAUUUAUUGCAUCUCAUUUACUAUUAAAAACCCGAAAAA